GACGGAAAGACCCCGUGAACCUUUACUAUAGCUUGACACUGAACAUUGAGCCUUGAUGUGUAGGAUAGGUGGGAGGCUUUGAAGUGUGGACGCCAGUCUGCAUGGAGCCGACCUUGAAAUACCACCCUUUAAUGUUUGAUGUUCUAACGUGGACCCGUAAUCCGGGUUGCGGACAGUGUCUGGUGGGUAGUUUGACUGGGGCGGUCUCCUCCUAAAGAGUAA
RNAcentral lists this ribosomal RNA (222 nucleotides) under Escherichia coli. Its description in RNAcentral is "partial 23S ribosomal RNA". It matches the Rfam family "Bacterial large subunit ribosomal RNA", at positions 2079 to 2300 of the family's 2925-position model. Lineage: Bacteria; Pseudomonadati; Pseudomonadota; Gammaproteobacteria; Enterobacterales; Enterobacteriaceae. RNAcentral also lists the same sequence under 1 other name. The record is from RNAcentral.